CUUAUUAUAAAAUGUAAACUAUUUCAACUAGUCACUUGUUCAGGUGGAACUUUUAAACCAGAGGAAGAACAAAGUAACUACAAUGUAGUUAAUAAGUUCUGGAGAACUUUUCGGCUAGUUAGUUCUUUCCGCCUGGAACUUUCCAACGUUGGAACAAAAGAGCAUUUACAAUAACUUGGACAUCAUACUAAAAUCAGAAGUAUAC
This 205-nucleotide long non-coding RNA is filed under the name Mytilus galloprovincialis (Mediterranean mussel). Lineage: Eukaryota; Metazoa; Mollusca; Bivalvia; Mytilida; Mytilidae. The record is from RNAcentral.